This is a non-coding RNA of Doryrhamphus excisus (bluestripe pipefish), 169 nucleotides long. Lineage: Eukaryota; Metazoa; Chordata; Actinopteri; Syngnathiformes; Syngnathidae. The record is from RefSeq and is a predicted model, not a curated record.
AUACUUACCUGGCAGGGGAGAUACCAUGAUCAAGAAGGUGGUUCACCCAGGGCGAGGCUCAGCCAUUGCACACGGGCUGGGCUGAGCUGACCUCUGCGAAUUCCCCAAAUGUGGGAAUCUCGACUGCAUAAUUUGUGAUAGUGGGGGACUGCGUUCGCGCUCUCCCCUG